Molecule: long non-coding RNA, 18668 nt
Filed under: Marmota monax (woodchuck)
Lineage: Eukaryota; Metazoa; Chordata; Mammalia; Rodentia; Sciuridae
Rfam family: tRNA (bases 16062-16129)
Source: RNAcentral
GUGGCUCUCUCUUUGAAAGGUGAGAGACCAUCCAAUGCAUAUGACCUUCCCCUCUGCUCUGCUAGAAAGAUCCCUCACAGUAGCACCAGAGAUGGGAGUAACCUGUUAGGAACAGCCCACCUGCCCCCACCUUGAUCCUAUUUUGGUGAAGAACAUUCUCUAGAAUUUCUUUGAUGUCUUCCAAUAUAAAUAAAGCAGGGCUCCUUUGUGUUAGAAGCUGGAUCCGUCUGGUCUAGUCCAUUUGCCUGUUCUGCCCCUGCUUUUGAAACUAUUUUCUGUGUUUUUUUCCACCAUUCUAUUUUUCCUAGCUUUUAUUUCUCAGCCAGCCUGUUCCACUGAGGGGAACCCCAUUCCCACCCACUACGUGGGAUGUGGGCGGAAAGUAAACAAAACAGUCACAAUGCUCAGCUUUUCCUUUUAUAACACUCAUAGUGUAAUAAGAAUGUGUUCAUGUAUGCUCCAUAUAUGAGCCCUGUGAUGGGAAUAUGUGAAAUCUCAGGCUGAGUAAGAAGCCUAUUUUGUGGGUUCUGAUAGCAUCCCAACAUGCUCCUUCCUCAGCAAACUAGUCAAAGGACUCUCCUUCCCUACAGGUGACCAGCCAAUUAGUCCUCGACAUGGCCAACAACGCAUUUGAUGAUCAGUAUGAGGGCUGUAUCGAAGCAAUGGAGGAAAAGGCACCCCAGCUGUUAAAAGAAGAGCUAAGCAUGAAUGAAAAAUUUAAGAAUGAAUGGGAAAAUGCUAAGAAAAAAUGGAAGCAAAUAAAGUCCAACAUAAACUAUUCAGAAAAUUUCAAUGAUUUCCAUGGAACUGCUAUAGUGGCCUACACUGGGAAAAUUGCAAAAGAUUUUAACCAAGCUGUAAGAGAAUUCAGACUAAAUUCAAGUGACUUUCAGUACAAGGCCUUCCAUUAUUAUCUGACAAGAGCUCUUCAGCUUCUGAGGACAUCCCAGUGUAACCAAGUUUUUAGAGGCUCUCAUACCAAGUUUUAUUACAGUGGGGCCGGUAGUGUACGAUUUGGGCAAUUCACUUCAUCAUCUUUGAAUAGAAAUGUAGCUGUUUCUCCAAGAUUUCUUGGUGCUGAUGGGACAUUGUUUAUCAUCAGAACCUGUUUGGGUGUUAAUAUCAAAGCAUUCUCUCUCUACCCUCAAGAAGAGGAAGUGUUAAUACCAGGGUAUGAAGUAUAUCAAAAGGUCACAGUAAAACAAACUGGUAAAAAUCACAAUGAAAUUUCCCUCGAAGCUCCCCAAAAACGAAAGAGUAACUUCAAUUGCUUUAAUUCUACUCCAAUUCACAGCAAAUCAGACAUCAAUUUCAACAGUUCAGGUGAGUCUGGGUCUGCAUUGGAGGUGGGGUUUGUGGGGUCAUCAUGAAACAGAAGAGGGUGCUCCCCUGCAGAAACCCCCACAGCAGAGAACAAUGGGCAUCCAGUCCAUUGCUGAAGAGUCUCAGGUUCCUAAAAGGACAGGACUACUGUUUUGGAGUGGAGAACAGAGCUCAGGCUCAUAGACAUGAGGCCAUUUCUAGUCCAGCCAAACUCCAGUUUCCCCUGCUGUGCAGAAAGGUCAGAAAGUCUUGUGGGACACCAGGUAGAAUGAACCAAGGAAUGUACUGGUGUGUCAGGGGCCAGCCAUAUCAAAGCAUCAGAGGAAUUGGGAGGCUUGCUGGUUCCAGACAGAAGGGCGUGGCUGCUGCAGAAUCCAGGCAAGAGAUGAAGGUGCCUGAACUGAGUGAGUGGCUGUGGUGCUGGAGGCGCCUGGGUUCUAGGUCUGUCUAUAAGCUAUCUCUUCCUGGGAGGGAAGACAGUGAGAGGUGGACAAGCUGAGGGGUGCAGUCAGAAAAGAGGAUGGGGGACCUUGAGAUUUCAAGUGUGAAGUGUUAACUGUUAAUCAGGUUCCAGGACAUUUCCACAAAAGUAAUUGGCUAGAUUGAAGAGCAAGAUGGAUAGCACUGGAUUGAGGAGUUGAAGAACUGAAGAUUUUGCACUGAGAACAACUCAGCCCUAGUGUAUAGGGAAUGAGCCUAGGACACUCACAGGACUAAAGAAAGAGAGGCAGAUAGAUUGGGGCACUCAUUGAUGAAAGCGUUGGUGCUGGACAACAGCAAGACCAGAUUGGAUCUGAGCAGUUUCAGUCAGAAAAAGGAGGAUAUAUAUGGAUGAGGACAAAAGUGACUAUCCUGCCAGGUGUGGUGUCACACUCCCGUAAUCUCAGUUACUCAGGAGGCCGAGGCAAGGGGAUUGCAAUUUGGAGACCAGCCUGGGUAAUUUAGCAAGAUACUUUCUCAAGAUAAAAAAUAAAAAGGGCUGGGAUGGAGCUCAGUAGCAGAGCACCCGUAGGUUAAAUUCCCAGUCCUCCACUAAUGCCCUCCCAAAGUGACUUCAUCCUGGAUGUAAUGUACUUGGUUUAUCUUAAGUUAAUAGCAAAGUGUUAGGAACUUCCCUGGAGCCAGGAGCCAGUUGUAAAUUUCCACAAACCGCUCUAAUGACUCUGUCUACAUAUAGUUUGCUGAGAAACUAUGUAAAAAAACUAAGCUUACCUUGGAGCAAUCAUGGCAGUUACAACUCAAGAUGGCUGCAGUCAUGUCAAGUUAAAUCAAUACAAGUGGUCCACAUGGUAGACCACAUGUAGAGGGACAGUGCCUGGAAUGAUGAAGGUAGAGUUGGUAAAAUCAGGAGAUAGGAACCUCAAAGAAGACAUACCAAUAAUGGUUGAAACUGGUUACAAAGAACACCAAGAAAGCUGUCACCACUCCCAGCCUCGAGAUGCAUAAGAAGAGCCACCAUGAGCACUUUCCCCAUCUUUUCCCAAGUGGUCCUGGCUUUUAGAUCUCUAUGCAUUUACACCAAUCAUUUCUUGUGGCCUGCAGUCUCUCUUCUUUGACUACAUAUCAUAUUUGAUCCAAGCUAAGACACCAUCAAUUUCAACAUGGUGAUUGUCUUCCAAGACCUAGUUCCAAUAUCACUUCCAAUAAUAAGCCUUCCUUGAUACUUUCAAGGAAAAUUAAAUCCUACACCAUUCUCUAUGGCAUAGGUUUGGACUCAGACCACCUCAAUGAUAAUCUGGCUCAGCAGCACUAGUUUUAUGACUUCAAGCAAGUUGCCUAAGUAAUCUGUCUCUGAAUUUCCUCAUUUAAUGAUGGGAUACAAAUAACAAACACUUGAGUAGUAUCACUGUGAGAAUGAUAAGAUUUUUAAGAUUUAUUGCUUGGCACAUAGUUUUGCUCAACAAAUACCUCCUUUUUUUUCUCGUGGAGAAUCUUGUCCACAUCUCAGCCAUUUUGCCUCAUAAUGGAGUAUGACUUACCAUUUAUAUGAUAAUCUCUUGCUUAUAGCCUGGAGACUUUGUCCCUCCUAUUUACCUGCAUUCAAGAUCUGCCAUGGGCUUGACUUGAAUCAGGGUUCCAACAUAUAUUGAUGCAGUAAGUUACUUUUUAUUGAGAGGCCAGGGGUCCAACCAGAAGUGGAUCUGGGCUGCAGAGGGACUAAGCAUCCAAGAAAUUUAAACCAAAUUUGCUCUUACAUUCUGGAAAUCCCUUCAAAAACCAAAAAGAUGUCCUUGCAGUUUCUCUCUCCUUGGUAUUUAUUUUUUUUUCUUUUUACCAUUUUUAUUGGUACAUUAUAAUUUACAUAAUAAUGAGAUUCAUUACACCACAUUUGUACAUGUGAGUUACAUAAUUUGUUCACUUUCCUUCCCUGGUACCUCUCCAUUUCCUCCCCUCCUCCCUCCCCCUAAUCACUUUCUCCCUGGUAUUUCUCCUCUCUCCCCCUAAUCACUUUCUCCCUGGUAUUUCUGACUACUUCAGGAAUCCUGGGAAAAUAAGAGGAGAGGCUAGUCAGGUUAAGUGAGUGCCUAGAGCCCACCUUCUAGGGUUUUGACAUGUAGGUGAAGCUCUGAAAGUUAGGAGGCUAUGUCUUGAGAAACUCCACACUGAAACCUUUCCUUCUCUCCCUCCCAUAGGCCCUGUGUUCCUGCUGCUGCUGCUACUGCUGCUUGCUGAGCCAUAGCCCUUGGCCUGAAGUUUCUCUUCCUUGACUACAUAUCAGAUUUGUGAGCAGGAUGUUGGAGGAAGGACAAGGAUCAGAGACUUGACUGGGUUCUCCAAUGUCAGCAGUAUUGGGAAGGGUAGGAUCUUUUUUUGUAGUCCGCUUUAGUGCUUGUGUCCCUCACAGAUAUAUGAGGAAAUUACUAAAUCCCACUAUAAAAGUGAGCAUACGGUCUUCAAAUUUACUGCCUGAGAUAAGUUCCUGGUGUCUUGACACUUUGCUAUGGUUACAAAUCAAUAUUUGCAUGCACCGUCAGCAGUGACAAUCUCUUUAAAAUGCAAUUUGUGAUUAAUGUUAUAAUCUAAAGAAAUAAACCAUUCAUAAUCACACCUUGCUUUUCUGUGACUAGGUUUCUCUAUAGAUUGUAUUAUGCUCAAGAAACUCUCUUAAGGCAUUAGAUCUGAUGCCAGAAUUUUUACAGCUGAGAAAAUUCAUAUUGCAUAUUUUUAUAGAUAUGUUUGUGGGACUGAUUGACUGAGCCAUAAAUAUGAGGGUUGUCCUAGAUAAAUUCCUCUCUCUACACUACUCCGCCAAAAAUGCAUGCAGUUACCAAGCCCUGUCAAUUAACUUUAAUAAUCGUUCUCAAAUCUAUUCCUUGCCUCUUGCCUACUCUGAUCAUCUUUGAGAAAAUGGAAAAGCCUGUUGUGAGGUGUGGAUGGAGCGCAAAAUCUAGGCAAUGUCCUAGCCAAGAGUGGGUCUAGCUAAGAUGCACAGAGCUUCUCUCACUCCUCAUUCCCCACUCUCCAUGCCUGAAAGACUGCACUGCCAUUGCCUACCAGCUACUGAGAUAAACUAUGAAGACAUGGUAAGUAAUUCCAAAUAGUAUAAUGGUGCAAUAAAAUCAAAAUCAUUGGAGAGAAUAAAGAGGUAAGAAAAUACUCAGGCAAACACAGGAACAAGGUAUAUGGCAGGGAUGGCCUUACAAAUCACGGGAGGAAACAUGAGGGUGUGAAUGGAGUUAGGACAGCUAAUUGUCUACAUAAAAAAAAAUGAAAGAAAAGAAAUAAGAAAUUGGAUUGGACCCCUACAUUGCAUAGAAAGCCAUUGUUUUGGACUUAGCUGCUUCAUGAGGCCCAAUAGACCAGAUCAAGCCAGAAUGGAGUCACUUUUGCUGGAUGCCUUAUAAUCAAAAUGAACUUUGAAAGGCACCAGUUUUCUGACAUCUAGGAGAUUCACAGUAACCAGUCAGAAGGCGCCCAAGUUACCUGACCUAGCAUGAUGAGGAACUGUCCACUUUUUUAAUUCUAUAAAGAAAGUACCUUCAAAUAACCAAUAUACUUUUUGUUCCCUAUUUAUGCUUUCUUUAGCUCUUUCCUGCCUGUAAAACCAACCCCCUCUGCUGUUCAGCUGAUUAGGAUAUCUUUUAUUUUUUUGGUACUCGGAGCUUGAACUCAAGGGAUCUCUACCACUGAGCCACAUCCUCAGCCCACUCCUCGCUUUUUUUUUUUUGUACUUUUUUAUAAGACAGAGUCUCACUAAGUUGAGGCUAAGGCCUUGAACUUGUGAUCCUCCUGCUUCAACCUUCCUAGUCUUUGGGAUUACAGGCAUAAGGAUUGUGCCCAGCUCAGAAUAUCCAUUCUCUUUUGUAGAAUGAGAUGUUGCCUGAUUUCAGUAAAAGCUAAUUUGUUUUUUAAACUAAAUCUGUUAUUAUUUUUUCAACAUACCAUCCGUGAAAGUAAUCCUAAGGAAUGUAAAGAUCUAAAUGUUAGAAUAAACCUCCGAAACUCUUAUAAAAAUAUAAAAGAAUAUUGGGCUGGGGCUGGGGCUCAGUGGCAGACCACUUGCCUAGCAUGUGUGAGGUACUGGGUUCCAUCCUUAGCACCGUGUACAAAAAUAAAUAAAAUAAAGGCAUGCUGUCCAUCUACAACUACAAAACAUUUUUUUAAAUAUAUAGAAGAAUAUUUGUUUUAACAUGAGAGCAAAAGGAAAAAAAGAUUUAUUUCCCCUCCAUGCCUAAGAUCCUGGGAUCUUAUUACUUCUGCCAAGAAUGACGUCAUCACUUUUAUAAUAUCUCAUUGAUCAAAGCAAGUCACACAGCCAUCUUCAACUUGAAGAAGGGCUUUCCAGGCACCCGGAAAGAGAAGAGAGGAGGAAAAUUUGUAAUAAAACCCGUUGUUUGGGGAAGUAUAUCUUAAGACCAAAAAACAAAAUAAAGAGAAACACAAAUAAAUUUGACAUAGUAAUAACAAGAUGAAUAGCCAAAAUUUUUUGGGUACUUACUGAGUUAUCGGGCACUUAUUCAAAGCAUUUUACAUAUUUAUUCAUUUAAUCUUCACAAUAACCUCAUGAGGUAAGCUCGACUCUUUCCCAUUUAUACCAUCGAGGCUCUGAGGAGUUAUGUAACUAAUUGUCAAAAUAAACAAAAUAGACAUAAGAAGCAAGGAAAUAGAACCUAAACUAUGGCAGGUCAGGUCAGGGGUGUUGAAGGGCUAGGAGGGGUUAUGCUAAGUAAGCAGCAAAAGCUGGGCUUCCAGAUAAGAUAGAGCUCAUGGGUCUGCACUUCAUUGGUUAAAAGAAAUCCUAUUGUUUUUAAUUCAGGAAGGAGUGCCUAAUUAUCAUUUGGCCUACAGGGGUCAUUAAAAGUUCAUGAUUCUUCAUCAACUUUAGCAGGAAAAAACAGGUGUGAUGAAAAAAAUGUUGGGUUUUAGAUAAGUCCCAGGCGAAUGCUUUCUGUAGGUCAAAACUUCUCUUACACUGUGAGGAAAAUAAGUCAAAAUCAAACACAUAAACUUCUGAAUAACAAAAGACGCCAGAAUCAAAAAGCAAGAAGGAGGCUGGGAAAGGAUCUUUGUGAGAUUUAUAACAUGUAAAGAAUGUCUGCAAAAUAGAAAAAUUAGAAUAAUAUAUGAACAGACAAUUUACCGAAGAGAAAAAUCAACCUUUUUUUUUUUAAUGCCAAUUGCGAUUGAAACACAAAUCAAGGCAACCAUGACAUAUUACUUCAACUCUUCAACUUUAACAUGGGCUACUCGAUCUUAUCAAGCUGUUGCAAUUUAAGCAAAGUCUUCUAGCUUUUGUCAAAUCGAAACUCUUGAGAAUUGACAGACUUUCUGAAAUAUAGGGAUUUAUUGAGGCUUUACAAAUGCUAAACAGAAAAAAAAAAAAAAGACCAGUUCUGGGAAAAGUUCCUAAAACCAUUGGCAAUAGGCCCGGGCAGCAAUUGGAAACAUGUCCACUGGACCUAGAGCUUAGAGUAUCUUUGUAUAAACUCUGAGGAAGGAAAGUCUAAGUAGUUUACAUUGACCUUCAUUGGCUCUGGAAUGCAGGAUAAGGCUAUGGGACAGGAGGAUUGUUCAUAAGUAGAAGCACCUGCUUCUGGAGUAGUUGGGGUUAAACAUCUGGAGGGUUUGUAAAUCAACAGGGUUUGGUGGCCCUGGUGGUCAGCCAUGAAGGGAUUGAAGCUUUCAACAUAAACAGUCUUUUUGGUUCUUUGCCAGCAGCUGUUAACUGAUUACCUACUUUGUCUUAUUUCUUCCCUUUUCUAUUCUCUGGCCCUUGUGAUUAAUCUCAGAAUUUUUCUUUUAUCACUUUUAAUCUGCAUAAGUUUCUGUGUCUCUGUUCUCAUGUUUUCCUUACAUUGUUUAUUUAAUAUCCAGAUGAGAAGGGUUUUUAUUUUUUGCGACUAGGGAGUGAACACAGGAUUUUUUGAGACAGGGUCUCACUAAAUUGCUGAGGUUGACCUACAACUUGUAAUCCUUCUGCCUCAAGCUCCAGAGUUGCUGGGAUAUCAGGUGCUCACCACCAUACCUGGCCAGUAAGAAAGGUUUUGAUGCAUCCUUUAAGUCUGCCACCUAUGAAACAUAUAAACAGUAUUGCAACCUUAGCAAUUAUUUCCACAUCAGUGAGAUAUUUUGUAUGACUUUUGUUCAAUUCAAGAAUGCAAACCGGGCAUGGUGGCACAUGUCUAUAAUUCCAGGGACUUGGGAGGCUGAGGAGGAGGAUCAUAAGUUCAAGGCCAGCCUGGGCACGUUGGGGAGACCCUGUCUCAAAAUAAAAAAUAAAAAGGGCUGGGGAUAUAGCUCAUUGGUAGAGUACCCCUGAGUUCAAUCUGUAGUAUCAAAGAGAGAGAGAGAGAGAGAGAGAGAGAGAGAGAGAGAGAGAGAGAGAAAGAGAGUGUAUAAAGGCACAUUCUGUAUUUCACACAUUGUUGAAAGAGUGGGGUAAGACCAGUAAGACCAGGCAUGGUGGUGCAGCUCUGUAAUCCUACCAACUUGGGAUGCUGAAGAGAAGAAUCCCAAGUUCAAGGUCAGACUCAGCAAUUUAGUGAGACCCUCAACAAUUUAGCAAGACUGUCUCAAAAUAAAAAGGGAUGGGAAUGUAGUGGUAAAGCACCCCUGGGUUCAAUUUCCAGUACCACAAAAAAAGAAAACUGAAAGGUUGGAGAGUGGGGAAGGUUUUUAACAAGUAAUAGAUUAUGAAUUAAAACCUGAGAGUUUAUCUAACUUUUUGUUCCCUGAUCUGGUCCCUGAUUAUCUCAGUUACAUGAACUUUAAAGUCAGAAUGAAAAAAACUCAUGAAUACAUUGGGGCUCAUUCAGUAGGAGGGCUACAGCAAAGUGGAAAAAAUCUUUUUUGUAGGAUUCUGAUGUAAUCACAUUCUUAGCCUUAGGGUUGAUGAAGGCCAGAGGUCAGUGAUAUAUACCAAGUGUUUUAUCUGGUAGUUACAAGGAUAUAAGGUCAGAUACAGAGAUGGGUAGUAAAUGAUUAUUAACAGGAACUAUAGAUAGCCCAAGAUAACUCUGGCUCUCCAUCUGUAACAUUCCAUCUCUCCAGAACCAUGAUAUUCUUGUCAGCCACAGUCCAACAGUCUGCAGGUCCUUCAACAUAACUGAGGCUUCUUCAGAGAACUUCAAUUCACAGCUUUUAGUUAGUGUGACCUUGAAAUCCAAGCCUGUGGCGAUGUCUGACUUCUACUCUAGCCCUUCCAAACAUUGUAUUGAAUUGUAUUUCAAUUCCCUGUAUUGAAUCCCUUUCUGUCUGAGGUGCCUAGAGUGCUUCUGUUUCUUUCAUAGAAUCCUAACUGAUGCAACUGGGCUCCCUGCUUCUGCUCUUGCCCACCAGAGUAGCCCCAUGAACUCAAGACACAAUAUGCAAUUUCUUUGCUCAAAUCUGUGAAUGGCUAAAAGCCAAAGUCCUUCCAAUGCCUUAAAAAGACCACAUCCAAAUUUGGUAUUCCAUAAACAUUCUGAUCUCCUCUUCCACUGCUCUCCAAAUUGCUUGCUCUGCUCCAGCUACGCUGAUCUCCUUAUAAUUCUCUACUGUGCAGGCACUCAUUGGCCUCAAGGCCUUUGUUUUGUGUUCCUGCUCCCUGGCACUUUCCCUAGAUAUCUGACCAACUUACAAAGCUUAUUUCAAGUCUUUACUCAAAGACCCCCUUCUCAGUGAGAUGUCCCAUGUCUGUGUAUGAUUAGAUUACUACCCUCCUGCACACCAUCCCCCUUUCCUGCUCUUCUUUAGCACUUUGCAGUCUAAAACAUCACGCAUACAUUUCUGACCCUAUUGCAUAUUGCCCCCUCCACAUUGUUGAUCCUAUAAGGUUUUUGUCACUAUAGCAUUUACUACCUUCAAUGCUAUAAAUGUCUCCCAGACUCUGGAAUCUGAACUUCACAAGGACAAGGAUGUUUGUAUGCUACUUCAUUGGUAUACCCCAAGCACUCAGAACAGUGCCUGGCAGGUAGUAGGAGCUUAGGAAAUCUUUAUUGAAUAAAGAAAUUGUCUCCAUUCUGUGAAUGAGAAAACUAAGACUUAGAAGAACAUGUUUCUUCAAUGUACCAGCCCCAAAGAGGCAGAUCUGGAGUUACCCUGAGACUGAGAGCUGCAUUAUUUAAAAAAAAUAUAUAUUUUACUAUUUUUAAAAGAUAUUUUAAAUACUUCAAUAUAAUUUUAAAAUAUUUUAUUAAAGCAUGGCCUACAUACAGAAAAGUGCACAAAUCAUAUAUGUUCCACUUGAUGGAUUUUCAGAAAAUGAUCACACCUGUGUAACUAUCACUCUGAAAAAGAAACAGAACAUUACUAGUGAUCCAGAAUCUCCUGGGACCCCCUACUCUGGGGGCAUUAGAAAAGUAACUACUACUCUAACUUUCAAUUAAUUAAGUGUUCAAUUAGUUAGAGAUUAAUUUUGCCUGAUUUAAAACUGUAUAUAAAUGGAGUUGUAUGGAAUAUAUUCUUGUGUUUUGGUUCAUUCACUAAAAAUUACACUUGUGAGACUCAUAUUUUCACAUAUAGCUGUAUUUUAUUCAUUUUUAUUGCUUUAUUAUAUUCCUCUGUGAAUAUGUGAAAAUUUAGUUACCCAUUCUAUUGGUGAUGGGCCUUUUGUUCUUUCUAAACUUUGGCCAUUAGGAAUAAUGUUGUACGUAUAAUGAACAUGUUGUAUAUAUUGCACACAUGUGAACACAUUGUUAUACAUGUCACUCAUUUUUGUUGAGUAUAUACUUAGGAGUAGGAUUGCUGAGGACAUGUUAUUUAUAGAGUUGUCCCUAUGUAUCUCUGGAGGAUUAGUUCUCCCCACCACACCAACAUCUGCAGAUGCUCAAGUCCCUUGCAUGAAAUGAUGUAUAAUGGGUAUAUAACCUAUUCACAACCUCUUGCAUCCUUUAAAUCAUCCCUACAUUACUUAUAAUACUUAAUUCAAUGCAAGAUGGGAACAGUAGUUAUACUGUAUUAUUUAGGGGAUAAUGACAAGAAAAAAAAGUCCAUGUAUGUUCAGUACAGUUGCAGUUUUUUAUGAAUAUUCUCAAUUUGCUUGUUGGUUGAAUCAAUGGAUGUAGACCUUGUUAUAUAAACAGAGGGCCCUAGGCUGAGGAUGCAACUCAGUGGUAGAGUGUCUGCCUGGCAUGCACGAGGCCCUGAGUUUGAUCUCCAGCACCACAAUACAAACCAACAAACAGAAGAAAAGAAAAGAGGGCCCACUGUAUACAUAAUGUUCAAUUUUAGUAGAUCCUGUCAAAUAAUUCUCCAUACCCUCUCUGGACCUCAAUUGAGAAGCAAGUUAUUUAUCCCUGUGUUUAAGAGUAAGAGAUUCAUAACAAGCUAUAAUGGUGGGGUACACGCUCUCACAGUGAUAACACAGGUGGCAAUACUGGAAGCCUUGGCACCUGUGUGAUGAUUAACUUCAUGCUUCGAUAUGAUUGGCCAAGACGAUGCCCAGAGAGCUGGAAAAGCAAUAUUUCUGGGUUUAUCAGUGAGGUAUUUCUUGAAGAGAUUAACAUUGACUCAGUAGAUGGGUAAAGGAGAUCUGUCCUUACCAUUACAGGUGGACACCAAAGGCAAACUCUUCCCCCCUCCUUAAGCUGGGCCAUCCAUCAUUUCCUGUCCUUGGCUGUAGAAGCUAUUGAUUCUCAGGCCUUCAGACUUAGGAACUUAAAUUAACCCCCAUUGUCCUAAAAAAUUUUCUCUCUGGCCCUUAGGCCUUUGACCUCGGGCUGGGAGUUAUACCAUCAGCUUCCCUGUUUUCAGGCCUUUAGAUUCAGACUGAAUUGUACCACCUGCUCUCUCAGGUCUCCAGGCAGAGCAUGGGACUUCUCAGCCUCUACAAUUGGAUGAACUGAUUCCCAUAAUGAAUCUAUGGAUUCUAUUUUCUGGAGAACCCUAGUUAAUAUAACCUGUGAGCCAUUUUUGGGAAGACUUGAUAAGGUGCCUUCCAAUGGAGUUCCAGAGAUGUAUUCCUUUGACAAACACAGGAUCUCCGUCAACAGUUUUUUUUUUUUCCCCAUUACUCUGUCUAUAGAGGUCAGUUGGUAGGUUGCACCUAGAAUAGAAUGUUUUGAUGCACACAUCAUUCAUGCUUUGAAAUGAAACAACAUUAUCUGGCCUACAAAUGCUCUGCCAACGAGUGGCCAUGGAGAGUAACUAGAAAUGGUAUAGACACUUUGCAGCUGGAUCAUUUGGGGAAAGUCCUGAUCUUUCUUUUGUAGUAGAUGCCACGGUAUAAGAGCUAUGAGAUGGGUACCUGGCCAUUCCAGUCCAGUUUCUGUACAACCCUAUCCAAUUUAUCUUUUUUAGAAUUCCAUUUUGAAGUUUCUCUAUCUUCUCUGAUUCUAAGUAAUGUGAGCCGCAAAACAUUUAUGAAUCAAUAAGGCUUUACAACUAUUAAUAGACAAAGGUAAUCCAAGUUUAAAAAUAAAUCUUUAGAAACUCUUGGCCAAAAGACAUAGUAUCAUUUUGGUGCCCUAGAUUCAGUUUCUGGUGAAGGCCUCCUUGCUGGCUUACAGGUAGCCAUCAUUUUGCUGUAUCCUAUAUGGUAGAAGGAGCUCUCCAGGGUCCCUUUUAUAAGGACAUUAAUUCCGUUUGUGAGGGCUCUCCCCUUGUGAUCUAAUCACCUACCAAAGUCCAACUAUCUAAUACCAUCACACUGUGGGUUACAUUUUUAACAUGAAUUUGAGCAAACACAAAUAUUUUGCCUACAGCAAGUAGUGAGAGGAAAUAUUGGGUUUUUUAUUUGUUUAUUUUUAAAACAAUUUUCUAUAGUCUGGAAGUACUCAAAAACAUAGUGAGAACUGAUACAAAUACAAACAGACUUUUGAGAAGUGAGACUACAGAUUCAGAAGAAGCAACGUGUUUGCUACCUGAGUCAAAAAUAAAGAAUUUUUGCUACAUGUGUUAACAGCAGACAGCAUCACCCAAGAUCUUUGUUUUUUAAGUCAUUAACUUUAAUGUACCUUGUAUCAAAACCUCAUGCUCAAUACACAAAAGAAUGUCUAUCAAACACAUUCUCUCAGCCUCACUGACCAUUCCAGAUACUGCAGAAGUGAAAGGUCCACCCUGGUUCCUGUGGAUGCCCUUCUCUUCAGGGGCUUCCUGCCUCUAGUCAUCCCUAAUACAGAGACAUGAGGAGACUCCACUUUGCAAUUACACCUGUGCAAUCCAGGAAUGUGGGGAAGACAAAGUUCCAAGAGGAACUCCUCUCAACCAGUGGAGGACAGGAGUCAAGGAUAAGUAAUUCUUGUUUGCCCCCCAGACAGAUGGUUCUGAGUCUCAAUUCAGAAGGCCACCACAGUGCCCAGUGGCAAUAUGUUUAAAUGAAAAUAUCUAGUUUUUAAAAAUAUCAUGGAUAAGAUCAAGCACAUUACAAAGUCACAUUAUGGAUGCAUCAAUUAAUUUAUCCUCCUAAUUUGAAUGUUUUGAAGACCAAAUGUGCCGAUACAUAGAAAAUGAUACAUAGGGUAGAGAAUUUUGGUUAACAUAUUCCUUAUUUUCUCUGCAUUUUAAUUUCUUUAAAAGUCUCAAAAUAAUAGUAGUAACUUAUUAACUUAAAAUUUUACCAUUUAUGGUUCAGAAUCAUUGACAGAUCUUAGAAAAUAUACUAAUAUAUUUUCUUAUAUCUUAUAAUCAACCAAUCUCUGUUGAUUAUAAGAGUUUAUAGAAGAAAUAUGGUAAUAAAACAUUAUCCAUUUAAGUAGAGUAACUGUAGAUGUUCAUAAUUUUUAAUAUUAUACAAGUUCCAAAAGUAUAAGAACUAGUUUAUAAAAUACUGGUGUUUAAAAUAAUCAACUAGCUGAAUACUCAUGUUUACAUUGACAUAUUCUUGAAUAUUAGUGCAAGUAAUAAUAAUUGGAAAAUUUAGAAAUUCUACCUUGUUUAUCUUUUCCAAAGAUUAAAAAUUAAAUUCAAAGUCUUUCAGAAAUUAAAUACCACAUUUGCAUUUUUACUUAUGUAAAAUCAUCUUUUAGUCAUCUUUUAACUAAAAUUCAAGGUAUAGUUUAUUUUAUCAAAGGGUUUGCCUUGAUAAAUAAUAUAAGAGCACAUAAGUUAACAUUUAAUUUCUAUUUAUUUACUUUUCCCUGCUGCAUCCUUUGUUUAGAGCCCCACCUGUAAAACCCCUAAUUGUAAGGCCAUUGUUGCAAGAGACACUGUGACAAGAUGGAGGCGGAACUCCAUUUGAUAAAGGUUGUACAGUAGCCAGAUUUGAUGGCUUUUACUUCCUUUUUUUCUCUUUCCUCCCCAGUUCCAAAUCACAGCAAAUUCUGAAAGAGCAGCUAAUUUCAAAGGUAAUCUGCUUUACCCAGCCCCACUCUUGCUCAGGGGGCUUCUGUUACACUUAUUUGAAACAAAUCCCUCAACUGAAAAGGAUCACAUGAAAUACACAUUGGCUUCUAGAACACAGUCUUCCCCCUGAAUGUGCUCAUUCUCAGGGGCACACGCUGAAGUAGAAUUCUUGGAAGCUUCUUGGUCAAACAAAACCGACAUCCUUAGGACAAACAGUGUCCAAGUUCUAAGGGAAGAAUUGCUUGAGCUGAAACAGUAGGUACUCCCAGUAGGCCCACACCACAGAAUGGGGCCACAAAAGUCCUUGUCCUGUGCCAUUGGGAAAGCUGAACUAAUUAAAAUACCAGAGACAGACUCAGCAGAAGCCAUCAUUUCUCUCUUAGAAUUAAGACAACUAAAUACUUCCAGGUAUUUCCCUAGAAAAUGAAAGAGAGAGAGAGGGCGGGGGGGAGAAGUAUUUGGGGGAUAGGCUGGUUGAGGUGGCUGUGUGCAGGAGAGGGUAGCAGAGGUCCUAAUCACAGAGAAGUUUUGAGUACAGGUUAGAAAAUACUCUGGUGUUCUUUUGAGCCAGCAGACUAAAGUGUCCAACCCUUCCCUGAAGGCUGACACUUAGCAGCUCCUCCAGGAUGUGUGGCUGCUGAGUUUGCUCAUUAGCAUUUCAUAGUCUGCAGUAAGCAAGUGCAGCCACCAGGGGGCAAGAUGCACCUUUAACCCUGGCCUUACUGAAUACCAGAGGGUCCUGGUCUGGUCCUUGAAGGUGCAUCUGGAACUUCACAUCUCAGGUCAGUACCUUGUUUCCCUUGACUUGUGAAAGAGGUGGAUCAUUAAGAUAAAAUAAGGGGAAGACACCCUGGAAGAGACUAAAACUAAGAAGCUGAAGAACAAUGUCAGUGUUCUGUGUACGUGUUGUCAUUCACCCAUAGAGUCUCCACGUACUUUAACAAGGACCAAAUGACUUUAGAAAAAGGAAACUGGAAAGGAAAUGAGGAAACGUGGGGAUUCUCAACAGAAUUCAUUGUGCUGACUCUUUUUGUGUUCAUUAAUUUAUACCUGGGUCAGGGCGUCCUGUGCCAGACCCGCCAAAGGAAAUCCCACAAUCCUCAACUUCGGGGAAGCACCUGUGUCAAAGUUACACUCAGGCCAAUUAACAGCAUGGUUCAAGGGCUUCCUUAUAUUUAUUUUAUUGAGUGUAGUUGGUAUGCUAUACCUGUGGGUUUUACAUCUGUGGAUUCAACCAGCAGCAGUUAAAAAUUCUGGGAGAAAAGAAACGAAAGGAAAGGAGGAAGGGAGAGAGGGAGAGACAGAGAUAGAAAGCAUGUGCACAUAAAAUACGAAAAAAAAUUAUGUCUGAACUGAAAGUGCACAGAUAUUUUCUAGUCAUUAUUCCCUAAAUAAUACAAUGUAACACUAUACAUAGCAUUUACAUUGUAUUAUUAUAAGCAAUCUAAAGAUGAUAAACAGUAUACAGUCAGGUAUAAUGGCACAUGCCUUAAUCCCAGAGAUUCAGGUGUCUGAAGCAGGAAGAUGGCAAGUUCAAGGCCAGUCCCAGCAAUUUAGGAGCUCUAAGCAACUUUGCAAGACCCUGUCUCAAAAUAAAAGAAUAAAAAGGACUGGGGUGAAGCAAGCCAGAGACCCCCACCCAGAAGACCCUUGCCAUAAUUAAGCUUCUCCUCUUGUCAGAUCAGCAGGGUGUCUGCAAAGCUUACUGUGGUUGAAGUUUCCUCUUUCUUGAAAAUGCCAGGUUUGCACACAAAAGGUGUGAGUUAGUCUGCAAGCUUGUUGUAAGCAAAGAUAUUAUCUCUAUUUUCUUGGUAAAAACUUGUGUUGGUCUAGAGGAUGGAAGAGAGAGCACUUGUUAUGUAAAACCUCCAAGGCCCUCCUCCCACUGGAUAUAAAGUUCAAAGAAUUUCCAAAAUCUUUGUUCAGAGAAAGAAUUCUUAGGCGAGAGCCACCUCUGAACCCUGCAGUCAAUAAACUGCUUCUUGAAAAUUCCUCAGGUGUCCAGCCUCUCCUGGCCUACUUCAGGGGGUCUGUCUGGGGUUGUAGCUUAGUGGUAGAGUGCUUGUCUAGCACAUGUUACUGAGUUCAAUCCUCAGCACCACCUAAAAAUAAAUAAAAUAAAGGUAUUGUGUCCAUCUAUAACUAAAAAUAUUUCUUUAAAAAAGGGGGGCUGGGGAUGUGGCUCUGGGUUCAAUCCCCAGUACCCCACCACCACCACAAAAUAAAAGUAUACAGCAAGAUUCAUAGGCUAGUGAAAAUGCUGCUCCAUUUUAUAGAAGGGACUUGAGCAUUUUGGGGGUCAGAGGUGGGUUCUGGAACAAUUCCCCUGCAGAUACCAAGGCAUGACUAUAAUAGAAUCCUCCAAACCUUGAUUAGAAGUCUCAGUAUUGAAGGGUUUUUUAAAAUCUUCCUAACUGCCAAUUUUGACCUAAUGUGAAUUGCACAUUAUUGGGACUGAUCUUCAUAUUUAUUUUGUAACUCAGCAGGAACGUUGAAGCUAUUAAACCAGAACUUAGGUUUUUUUUUUUUUUCCAUCUAAAAAUGUUUAGAAAAAAGGGCUUAGAUUUGAAAACAAGAAUAGUGUUUAAAUUUGUAUUAACAACUUAGUUUAUUUCUCAAGGUUAUUUACACAUUCACCAUUCUAUUUUAUUCUUAAAAGAAUAUAAAGUUUACCUUUUACCCAAAGGCUUUAAUACUCAAUUGAGUAGUUUCAUUUUUUUAUCACUUGGAAGUUUUAGUAGAAACUGUUUAAAAAACUCAUCCUUUUGAAACUAAUUUCUUUAAUCUUUUUAAAUGUCUUAACAUAAAUUAUAGAAUGCCAUUUACAGGCCAAGUUUCUUUGUAAACUCAAUGUUCUGCUAUUUGGAAGGUUUUCUUUUAUUGUUCUCUCACCCUGGAGGCCUUUUUAUAAAGUGCUGGCACAUUUGAAGCAUUGGAGGUGUGGCUUGGUUUCUUAAUUUUUCCCACAGGGAGACAUUGAGUCCCUUUAUCUUAGAUUUAUAUAAGCUCUCAGUGGUAUCUUGUAAGCAAUAUAAAUAGAAAUUUUACAGGGGUUGGUUGACAUGAUAGUUGUAUUUUCUGCAAAUCUACAGAGUAGGCCUAAUUAAUUCCAAGCUGUCUCUGAUAUCAAACUCAUUUCUUUGUCGGCAGGAUAUACAGACCAGCCCUGCAGAGCAAGCAAGCUGAAAUAUCUACUGUUUCCAAAAUCUCCUAGAAUUCCCCACCCCCAUCCUCUCCGUUCAUACCAACUCAAACCAAUGCAUCUGGACCUUUGCACAGGGCUGGGAGUCUCUCACUCAACAACAGAAGAAAUUAUUACACGACUGCAAAAUUGGAAGAUCAAACAGGAGAAUUUUUCCCUUAAGAAAAAGAAAGAAGAAAUCUUGCAGACGUCCAGAAAAAGUCACUCAAGCUUCCAGGAAGCAACAUACACAUAUUUAUCCUCUAGGGGGCAGGAGUUCUCUGUUUCUGGUGGAAAACACUUCACUGGUCCGGAGUUUUGCCUCUUGGAACUGCUAGGGAAACUUCACUUAGCUGGGUCUUAAUUUGAACAGAAAGAAAACAUUCCAGCUUCGAAUUAGAGAAAAGUCUAACCCAGAAACUAGAAGUACUCAUUCCAGAAGACAGAGGCACAAAGCUCUUUCAAUCUGCUCUGACUGCUGGUGAGCUCACAGAUGCAGCUCCACAUGUGUGCUCUCAAGAAUGCCUGGCAAAAGCCACAAGAUACAACCAUCCACGACAGCAGGAAGCAGCAUGGCAGGUUUUUGCUUCGGAUGCCCUGUUGAUGAUCUAGCCAGCUGUUCCUUGAUGCCCUUUUCUGAGCUGGUUAGAAACAUCCCAGAGAUAAGCAAGACCCAAAUAAAUUGUCUGUCACUGCCUGGGUUCUCUUUCAAAAACAGUGCCAAACACAAGGAGCUGCCUUCAGAAAACUCGUUUGGGAGAUGAUUGCAGGGUGCAAGAGUGAGGAACUUGUACUGUGCCAGCCAUUCCUGUCUGCUGGGGACUGGGGAGUUUGCUAAGAUUUGAGACUUUCACUGCUAAAAUUGGAGAAGUCUCAAAUAAAUGAGGGAUGAGUUGGUUGUGCAGGAACUGGGUGCUGUACUCAAAGGAGGUAAGCUGGGCAAGGCUGGGCUCAUGUGUUAUUAGAUCCCACAGCAUAGAGGGCACCUCAGAAUUGUAUGCCCGCAGGAUGGACGUGGGGAGAUUUGUCCACUGGUUUCCAUUCUCCAUUAGUCAGUUUUGCUCCUUGGGGGCGUUCAUUCUGCCCACACUCAGGGUUCCUGUGCCUGAGUGCCUGUGAACUCCCACAGGCAUUUCCCACUGAGGCUUCAGAGAAGCCCUGGGUGGAAAGUGAGAGAAACACAAUACAACUGAGGAAUAGCAUUGUGACACCUACACAAACCCGAUUGCUGCAGCAAUGGCAUUUGGACUGAUGGGGUGAAGUGGGCCCAAGAAGCGUCCUAUGCAUGAAGGUUAAUUUCACCUUCUUUUGGUUGGCUUAUCGUUGAGCUCAGUAUGGGAUCAUCAACCUCUGCUCUUAGCUUCCAGUUAAUUUAAAUGAAAUAAAGUUCUCAGAUUUUUUAUUUAAAUAAGAAAUCCAGCAAUGUAGUUUCAUUUCUCCUUGUGUAUAUGGAGGAAGGUGC